UGACGUCACGUUUCUCCCCUCUCUCUCUUUUUACGCACGUACCGGUUGCACGAGGAACGGUUUGAGGAAACGGAUUUGUUGCCAGAACCGAACAAACCACUUACUAGCAAGUACAGAAUGUCUUUAUAAACCACUCCAAUAAAAGUGGGCCGAGUCACUGGCUUACUGGUGCUCUUUCAUAACGUCCCUAGGAGGGGUGCGUCACUUGAGUGGGUUGAGUCACUGAUGUGGUCUUCCUGUCUGGGCUGGCGACCCCCCCCCCCGGGUUGUGCCGUGGCGGAGAUCUUUGUGGGCUAUACCCGGCCUUGUCUCAGGAUGGUAAGUUGGAGGUUGAAGAUGUCCCUCUAGUGGUGUGGGGGCUGUGCUUUGGCAAAGUGGGUGGGGUUAUAUCUUGCCUGUUUGGCCCUGUCCGGGGGUAUCAUCGGAUGGGGCCCUCCGGUCUCCCGACCCCUCCUGUCUCAGCCUCCAGUAUUUAUGCUGCAGUAGUUUGUGUUUGGGUGGCUAGGGUCAGUCUGUUUAUGUGUCUUAUCUGGUGUCGUGUGAAUUUAAGUAUGCUCUCUCUAAUUCUUUCUUUCUUUCUCUCUCUCUAUCUCUCGGAGGACCUGAGCCCUAGGACCAUGCCUCAGGACUACCUAGCAUGAUGACUCCUUGUUGUCCCCAGUCCACCUGACCGUGCUGCUGCUCCAGUUUCAACUGUUCUGCCUGCGGCUAUGGAACCCUGACAUAUUCACUGUGAUUACUAUUAUUUGACCCUGCUGGUCAUUUAUGAACAUCUGAACAUCUUGGCCAUGUUCUGUUAUAAUCUCCACCCGGCACAGCCAGAAGAGGACUGGCCACCCCUCAUAGCCUGGUUUCACUCUAGGUUUCUUCCUAGGUUUUGGCCUUUUUAGGGAGUUUUUCCUAGCCAUUGUGCUUCUACACCUGCAUUGCUUGCUGUUUGGGUUUCUGUACAGCACUUUGAGAUAUCUUACAUCAGUAAGAAGGGCUUUUAUAAAUACAUUUGAUUUGAUUUAUCAAAGCUGUGAGGAAGUGAUGUAGUAAAUACACCCUCAGCCCUCAAAUUAAGUGGACACUUCUGAUGACGUCUGACGGGUAUAUGCACUUGCAGGGCAACGGGCGAGGGAGGAAGGAAUUCAUUUUAAAUGGACAGCCCUUGCCCAGAAAUUCGUCACUCGUUCAUCCUGCAGACUUUCGUGUUUUCAGCCACCGGUAGCUUGUGGGUGCUUUAUAUGCGCUACAGUCAAUUAUGACUGCAUGUCUACUUAUAUUAACUAUAUAAUUAUUAAUUAUACGCCUACUGUAUGAUAGCUAAUAACUUUUCUAGCUAACUAACGUUAGCCUGCCUAGUUGGAACUUCUGAAGGAAUAUUUUUUUAUUUCUACAAUUUCCAAAAGCUAACCUAACAAAAACAUUAUUACUUUUACAAGACGUGUUUGUGCAUUAGGGGCACAAUUUCUAACUUAUUUACAUUUUGUUUUUACUUACACUUGUAUGUUGACUCCAUAUUGAAGUUGAGGUUUUACGUUUUAGCUGACUUUUCUUAGCGGAUAUACAAUACUCUCGAAUUGAAUUAUGGGACGUUUCAGGCCCCAAAGUAAACAUAAUUGUACACUCGCAAACUCCCAUUAAAAAUGAGGGCUGAGGUGCUUAUGUUGCAAACUUC
Molecule: long non-coding RNA, 1663 nt
Organism: Oncorhynchus masou masou (cherry salmon)
Lineage: Eukaryota; Metazoa; Chordata; Actinopteri; Salmoniformes; Salmonidae
Exons: 2
Source: RefSeq, a predicted model, not a curated record